UACGUAGGUGGCAAGCGUUGUCCGGAAUUACUGGGCGUAAAGGGCGUGUAGGCGGGGGAUCAAGUCAGAUGUGAAAUUCCAUGGCUUAACUGUGGCGCUGCAUCUGAAACUGGUUCUCUUGAGUACUGGAGAGGAAAGUGGAAUUCCUAGUGUAGCGGUGAAAUGCGUAGAGAUUAGGAGGAACACCAGUGGCGAAGGCGGCUUUCUGGACAGUAACUGACGCUGAGGCGCGAAAGCGUGGGGAGCAAACAGGAUUAGAUACC
RNAcentral lists this ribosomal RNA (263 nucleotides) under uncultured bacterium. RNAcentral describes it as "partial 16S ribosomal RNA". It matches the Rfam family "Bacterial small subunit ribosomal RNA", at positions 524 to 786 of the family's 1533-position model. The record is from RNAcentral.